Molecule: ribosomal RNA, 497 nt
Filed under: uncultured bacterium
Lineage: Bacteria
Description: partial 16S ribosomal RNA
Rfam family: Bacterial small subunit ribosomal RNA
Source: RNAcentral
GAUGAACGCUAGCGGCGUGCCUAAUACAUGCAAGUCGAGCGAACGGACAAGAAGCUUGCUUCUCUGAUGUUAGCGGCGGACGGGUGAGUAACACGUGGAUAACCUACCUAUAAGACUGGGAUAACUUCGGGAAACCGGAGCUAAUACCGGAUGAUAUUUUGAACCGCAUGGUUCAAAAGUGAAAGACGGUCUUGCUGUCACUUAUAGAUGGAUCCGCGCUGCAUUAGCUAGUUGGUAAGGUAACGGCUUACCAAGGCAACGAUGCAUAGCCGACCUGAGAGGGUGAUCGGCCACACUGGAACUGAGACACGGUCCAGACUCCUACGGGAGGCAGCAGUAGGGAAUCUUCCGCAAUGGGCGAAAGCCUGACGGAGCAACGCCGCGUGAGUGAUGAAGGUCUUCGGAUCGUAAAACUCUGUUAUUAGGGAAGAACAUAUGUGUAAGUAACUGUGCACAUCUUGACGGUACCUAAUCAGAAAGCCACGGCUAACUACGUG